CGUCUGAAGGACUCAGCAGGUUUACACUUCGCUGACCCGAUGGAUGAAUGGGGCCCUGUCCACCCACAUGGGGGCCUGGAAUCUUCAAUUAUGGCAAUUACAUCAACAGGUCGGAAGGGCAGCACUUUCCACUGAAGAGGUUCAGGGCUUAAAAGGAAAAUACUAAAGCCAGCUUUUUUUUUUCUUUCAUUUAAAGGGAUUGGGCUGAUGGAAGUAGACCCCCAUCUACAGUCUAAUUGGGCUGUGAGUAGAAAACAAAGAUGUGGCAUGUUUUUUGGGGUAGAAUCUGGCUGGCAUGUGCUUACCCACCUCUGGACUUUAGGCUUUUCUUUCAGUCGACUUCGUGUUGCAGUCCCUGGCGCAGGUGCACCCCCUGUCAACUUCCUCAAAUGGGACAUGGUGCCUUGUCUCUGAGUCCUCCCAGCUCACAAGGCUAGGGGAGGCAGUCCAGGCAGUCCUGAACUGGUGUCAGACAGGCUGGAUGAGACUUUGGAGAAGUUGCACAGUCUCUUCGAUUCAUGGUCUCCGUAUUUGUAAAAUGGCAUAGUGGAUAGAAUGGGUAAAAUCCAUCCUUCCUCCUUCCUACAGUUUUGAGGGAGAUUCUAGUCCCUGCUGCAUACUCAAGCUCAUUGGGUAUUUUCCCUCCCUCAGCCAUCCCGUUAGAUAGGUAAGACUUGAGUGAGACCCUUCUACCAGCAUCCUGAGAGCUUGUUAGAAACGCAGAAGCUCAGGCUCCACUCCAGAUCCACUGAGCCAGAAUCUGCAUCUGACCAAGCUUCCUUGGAAAUUUGUAUGCGUGUUCAAGUUUGAGAAGCACUGCUCUGGCCUGAAGCCUGCACACUAAAAACAUUACUUCGGUCUGUUCCUGGAUUGUACUGACUGUGGAGGAGGAUGGAGCAUUCAGAAUGCUGCCCAGGACAGUGACCACAAGACACAUGUGACUGCUGAGGAUUUGAAGUGUGGCUAACUGAGUGGAGAUGUACAGAAAAUGUCAAAUACUCUCUGAAUUUAAGAGAUUUAAAUGAAAAAAUGUAAGAUAUAUUUUACUAAUUGAUAAUUUUUGUAUGAUGAGUUAAAAUGACAAUUUUUAAAUACCUUGGUUAAAUAAAAUAUAUCAUUAAAUAAA
Manis javanica (Malayan pangolin) is the source of this 1126-nucleotide non-coding RNA. The record is from RefSeq and is a predicted model, not a curated record. Lineage: Eukaryota; Metazoa; Chordata; Mammalia; Pholidota; Manidae.